AGAACGAACGCUGGCGGCAGGCCUCAAACAUGCAAGUCUAGGGGGUGUAGCAAUACAUCACCGGCGGACGGGUGCGUAACGCGUGGGAAUGUACCUAUUGGUUCGGAACAACACAGGGAAACUUGUGCUAAUACCGGAUGAGCCCGAAAGGGGAAAGAUUUCUCGCCAAUAGAUCAGCCCGCGUCCGAUUAGCUAGUUGGUGGGGUUAAAGCCUACCAAGGCGACGAUCGGUAGCUGUUCUGAGAGGAAGAUCAGCCACACUGGGACUGAGACACGGCCCAGACUCCUACGGGAGGCAGCAGUUGGGAAUCUUGGACAAUGGGGGAAACCCUGAUCCAGCCAUGCCGCGUGAGUGAUGAAGGCCUUCGGGUUGUAAAACUCUUUCGACGGGGACGAUAAUGACGGUACCGUAGAAGAAGCUCCGGCUAACUUCGCGCCAGCAGCCGC
RNAcentral lists this ribosomal RNA (447 nucleotides) under uncultured bacterium. RNAcentral's name for it is "SSU rRNA". It matches the Rfam family "Bacterial small subunit ribosomal RNA", at positions 26 to 518 of the family's 1533-position model. The record is from RNAcentral.